RNAcentral lists this ribosomal RNA (506 nucleotides) under Photobacterium sp. HBA3. RNAcentral's name for it is "bacterial SSU rRNA". It matches the Rfam family "Bacterial small subunit ribosomal RNA", at positions 1 to 499 of the family's 1533-position model. The record is from RNAcentral. Lineage: Bacteria; Pseudomonadati; Pseudomonadota; Gammaproteobacteria; Vibrionales; Vibrionaceae.
UUGGAGAGUUUGAUCCUGGCUCAGAUUGAACGCUGGCGGCAGGCCUAACACAUGCAAGUCGAGCGGCAGCGACAUAAACAAUCCUUCGGGUGCGCUUAUGGGCGGCGAGCGGCGGACGGGUGAGUAAUGCCUGGGAAUAUGCCCUGAUGUGGGGGAUAACCAUUGGAAACGAUGGCUAAUACCGCAUAAUCUCUUCGGAGCAAAGAGGGGGACCUUCGGGCCUCUCGCGUCAGGAUUAGCCCAGGUGAGAUUAGCUAGUUGGUGAGGUAAGAGCUCACCAAGGCGACGAUCUCUAGCUGGUCUGAGAGGAUGAUCAGCCACACUGGAACUGAGACACGGUCCAGACUCCUACGGGAGGCAGCAGUGGGGAAUAUGCACAAUGGGGGAAACCCUGAUGCAGCCAUGCCGCGUGUGUGAGAGGCCUUCGGGUUGUAAAGCACUUUCAGUUGUGGGAGGCAAGCGUUAAACGUGUGUGUUGUCGUUGACACGAAAAACAGAUUACACUG